Molecule: ribosomal RNA, 358 nt
Filed under: Buthus occitanus tunetanus (Tunisian scorpion)
Lineage: Eukaryota; Metazoa; Arthropoda; Arachnida; Scorpiones; Buthidae
Description: partial 16S ribosomal RNA
Source: RNAcentral
UCCUUUCUAAACUUUUGCAUAAAAAAGGUAUUUUAAUUCAACAUCGAGGUCAUAAACUCACUUGUCAAUUUGAUCUUUCUAAGUGAAUUAAGCUGUUAUCCCUAAAGUAACUUACUUCUUCUUUAGAAUUUCAAGGUAUUAAAACAUGUUCGUCUUUCCCUUUAAGAAAAGAAUAUUUUCCCACCGCCCCAGUUAAAUACUUUCUCUUUCUUUUAAACAGUAAAAAGUAUAAAGUUUUAUAGGGUCUUCUUGUCUAAAAGGUUUAUUUUAGCCUUCUUACUAAAAAGUAAAAUUUAUUUUUUUAUAUAAAAAAAAAUUCUCCCGGUUUACUCUUUCAUACCAGUCCCAAAUUAAAAGA